UCCAGCUGAACCCCUAUGAGACAGUGUUGCCCAACACAUUCUUUUAGCCCUGGACUCUCCUCGACACACUGGCUCUGAGCCUUAUUUUAGUUUUGCUUUUAAGGGAAAUGGCAAUGUUUUAAGGAGAUCUAUUUCUCCGUCCAGCCAGGCACUACUGGCUUAGCGGAUAGCCUUGCUGUGUCAGGAAACUACCGUGUUCCUGACUCAUAAAAGAAGUGGCAUUUUGGUUUUCCACUGAAAGGUGACAUAAGGUCAGGAAUGCCAGAGGAGAGACAGCGAAGACCUUCAUGCUUAAGAAGUAAUCCAGGCCUCUCAGACGAGCAGACUGGGAGAGGAAGCCAAGUGGAGGAAGGGCAGGCAAGAGGCACAGCCAGUGCCUUGAGUCUCCCAACUCAAGGUGCAACUGCUACCUCCUCUCUGCCUUGCUUCCGGCCUCAGCACAUCUGGAAGGCAACCCAGGGACAUCCCAGCCCACACAAUUACUGGAGACAAAUGCUGUCAAUGUACCAAAAGAAUGAUGUCUGGGAUUUUA
Cricetulus griseus (Chinese hamster) is the source of this 532-nucleotide non-coding RNA. Lineage: Eukaryota; Metazoa; Chordata; Mammalia; Rodentia; Cricetidae. The record is from RefSeq and is a predicted model, not a curated record.